GCCCCGUGAUGCCACCAGGGUGGCUUCUCUUUCUGUCAAUCUUUGCGAAGGACACAGAUCUUGUCAUUCUGUGUUUCUCGAUGAAUUAUGCCACAAGGAGCUAUAUAAGAUCUUUCCUUUGAACACCUGACAAAGCUUUCGAGCCUUCCUUUAGCAUCUCCGUCUGUCAUCAAGUCGUGGUUGUCCUUGAGCUGACGAUGUCUCAACAGCAGUACAAGCAGUCACCAUGCAUCCCACCGGUAUCCUGCCAGUGUACUUCAAGUUGCUCAAAGUCAUGUGAGUCAUCAGCAUGUUAUGCCUUGUCUGGACCUCAGUGCCCAGGGUCAGCUGGACCUCAGUGCCCAGGAUCUACUGGAUCUCAGUGGCCAAUAUCAACUGAAACUCACUGCUCAGGAUCAACUGGAAGUUCUUGCCAGAAUCCCACCUACCCAUCUGGAGGAGAGGGAUGCUUCUGCCACCGCCACCCGCAGCAGCAGUGCUAAACUCCUGUAGGAAGUGUCCUUUGUCUAGCGAUGGCAGCCUAUCAAUAAAUGUUUGUUUGUCAGCAAA
This is a long non-coding RNA of Crotalus tigris (Tiger rattlesnake), 549 nucleotides long. RefSeq lists it as uncharacterized. The record is from RefSeq and is a predicted model, not a curated record. The transcript is spliced from 2 exons. Lineage: Eukaryota; Metazoa; Chordata; Lepidosauria; Squamata; Viperidae.